RNAcentral lists this ribosomal RNA (393 nucleotides) under uncultured bacterium. RNAcentral's name for it is "partial 16S ribosomal RNA". It matches the Rfam family "Bacterial small subunit ribosomal RNA", at positions 523 to 918 of the family's 1533-position model. The record is from RNAcentral.
AUACGGAGGAUGCAAGCGUUAUCCGGAUUUAUUGGGUUUAAAGGGUGCGUAGGCGGUUUGCUAAGCGGGAGGAGAAAUGCCGGCGCUCAACGUCGGAAGUGCCUCCCGAACUGGUGGACUGGAAUGACUCUGCCGUGGGAGGAAUGUGUAGUGUAGCGGUGAAAUGCUUAGAGAUUACACAGAACACCGAUUGCGAAGGCAUCUCACGAAGGGUUGAUUGACGCUGAGGCACGAAAGCGUGGGGAUCAAACAGGAUUAGAUACCCUGGUAGUCCACGCAGUAAACGAUGAUGGCUAACCGCUGGUUUAUUCGGAUCAGUGGCCAAGCGAAAGCGAUAAGCCAUCCACCUGGGGAGUACGACCGCAAGGUUGAAACUCAAAUGAAUUGACGGGG